This is a non-coding RNA of Podarcis lilfordi (Lilford's wall lizard), 913 nucleotides long. NCBI's taxonomy places the organism in Eukaryota, Metazoa, Chordata, Lepidosauria, Squamata, Lacertidae. The record is from the annotation of a GenBank genome assembly.
GGUGCAAGGCUUACAGCGAAUGUCUGCAGGCAACUAAUUGAAGACCUUUGUCAUGCCCCAAUAACAAAGCCAUGUGACCAGUUAGAACCGUAUAUAAAGGCCUGCAGUCUGAAGUGCCACCAUCAACAUUUGCUGACUUCCAACAGCAUCUCUACAACUACUGAACUCAAGUGAGUACGAUUGAAUACAAUCUGUUCAGCUUUCAUAUGUUAUAUGGUUAGGCAUAGCUAGGUGUUCUGUUUCUUUGGUCUUCCCACAUUGUGGAGGGGAGGUGUACUUGUUGCAUUUGUGCCUCUUCUAUGAAGGUUCGACUCCCAGAAGCUUAAAGAUCUCCCAGGAGUAGCAAGGUUGGCAAGCAAUCCCUCUUUCUUCAAUGGUGUCCAUUGAUUUCUCAGCUCCAUUGCUUAAUUUCUUAAGGAUCAGAAAAGUAUGGCAGGACUAUCGGGGAGGGGAGGGUGAUUCACAACCAUACACUGUGUAUAUGUACUCAUGGAUUGCCUGGGAGUAUGCCUGAGGUCCAUCCAUCCAAUCCUCUCCUGUAUGUUCAAUGUUAUUCUGUUGUGUGUUUCAGAUCCCUCUCUCUCACUCAAGAUGGCCUGUUGUGGAAGUUCGUGCGGUUCUGGAUGUGGCGGCGGAUCUGGUUCCGGCAGUGGUGGAGUGUUGGUUGACACUGGCAACACCUCAGCUGUGCAUGUCCAACCCGGCGGUUGCUCCCUGACGGUUCCAGGACCCCGUCUUGUCUCCCACGGCAGCUCCCAAGUGUCUUGCCGCACUGUGUGUGCUUCCGAAUGCUGCCCACCCUCCUGCUGUGGGUCUUCUGGGAGUGGACAUGGGGGCUCUGGUCCAGGCAUGAGAGUCGAUAUGUCCUACCCAGGCUAUGAUGUGAUCAUGCCAGCAGCUUACCUGUCAAGCA